GCUAUGUAUCAAGCAAUGCUAUUGAUGAAAAAUAAUAUUGCUACAUACAUAGGGU
Molecule: microRNA precursor, 55 nt
Filed under: Panagrellus redivivus
Lineage: Eukaryota; Metazoa; Nematoda; Chromadorea; Rhabditida; Panagrolaimidae
Description: microRNA prd-mir-7963 precursor
Source: miRBase by way of RNAcentral